AAUAAUCCAUCAGAGAGUAAGUUUGUUGAGCUAAGCAAACCAACAAAUAAAAAAUGGAGAGGCGUCAGAGUGAGGAAGAAUUAAAGCAUAAGCUUCAAGAAUUGCAGAAGCAGUUAGGAAAGAAACAAAUGUUUGAGGAAGCUGUUUCCUCUAUCCGAUCCCUUCUUCUUCAAUACUAUCCUUCUGCUUCCCCUUCUCUUCGUCAUUCGGUAAUUUCCCUCUUCCCCUUUUCUGGGUUUUCCUUUUAUUCUUGAUUUAUGUAAUAUGUAUUACGGGAAAUGUUGACCCAUUAUUUUCUUUUCUGCUAUAGAAAAGUCUUAUUACUUAAUUUUGCUUUUGAGUUAGUGGUUUUCGUGAUUUAUUUGAGUAUAUAUGAGUUUGGAUAGCUGCAGAAUAAAAAGUUAACUGGGUGAGUUUUACUUCUUGGAGCUGAAUUAUGGAAAAUAGGUUGCUAUGGAUAAAUGAGUUGGUAGAGGAGACGAGGUUUAUGCCAUAACAAAGUAUGUAAAUGAUUGUGCACUUUGGCACCUAAGCUUUGUUUUACACAAUGUAAAAUAUUUUCGUGAAAUAUUAGUUUCAUUGGAAAGUCAUUUACCUAACAAUAUCAUUCGCGAACUCCUUUGCUGAUGUUUGGUUGGACAUAAACUUGGUCGAAUGUUAUACUUGCAAUAGGGUGGGGGUGCGGGGUGGUGAUUGGUGAUAACUUUAUGUUUAGUAGAGAGUGGAAACAUAUGUUUACAUGGUGAUAUGGAGCAGGAUUGGAAUGAAAAAUGGUCGGUGCAGACGCGAGUUGUUUUUUAAAAAUUUGAUGUAAAAUGGUUUUGUUUCAAUAGUUUAGCAAUCAAACACCAGAAAAUGAUAUCACCUAGAAAGUUUUUUCCUGGAAAACAUUUACCCUCAUGCUAAAUAGUGUCUAAAAGGAAGAUGAUCGACCAGGUUGUUGAUUUUAGUCUCGUUUCUUUAUUUAAAACAAAAAAGAGAGAGAUAGCUUAUCUGCACGAGUAUUCUGUGCCUUUUAUGCUGUCUAAUUGAUUAAGCUGAUAUCCAUAAAUAUAAUGAUGAGUCAUUUUGUUGUUUGAUGCUGAGUGCGAAAGCCUCCUUCAUAAAUUAGGUGGAACUUUUGUCUUUCUAGCUAUUAUAUAGUUUAGUUCGCAGUUAAUAUCACCAUGAAGAAAUUAAACAAUUGAUCUUUUUGAAAAGAGAAUUUAACAUAGGUCAAUUCAUAGAAGGGAACUAGUACACAUCUAUUCUUACUAUUAAUAAUACAAAGGGUUUGUGAGCAGUUCUUCCUUUAUGUAACGCAGAAACAAUGACCAGCGUAUCGCUAUAUUUCAGAGAGAUCCUAGUUUUCAGGGAAGGAGUUGUUUUCCUUCUUCA
This 1377-nucleotide long non-coding RNA is filed under the name Nicotiana tabacum (common tobacco). RNAcentral's name for it is "long non-coding RNA (NTAB_LNC005221)". The record is from RNAcentral. Lineage: Eukaryota; Viridiplantae; Streptophyta; Magnoliopsida; Solanales; Solanaceae.